UGUUAACUGUGGCUCCAAUGGGUAGGAUGAAGCGGCUAAUGCGUUUGUCCACACCAUUAUUUUCCUCAACACACUUGAUCAUAGAGGGAAGAGUUGCUGAACUGGUGAUUGACAGGGAGAGAUACAAUACAGUAGUGAAUUUAUUGCAUUUUUGUCAGCCUUUCAAGUGAAUGUAAUGCCAAACAUUUUUUUUACAUUCAAGUUCAAACAAAGACCUGGAACCUCCGCAUCCCUGCAAAUGCCUCCGCUGCCCAGUGACCUAGAGCUUCCACUUCUGAGCAGCAAAACCUCAGGUUAGAUAUUCUCUCUUGGUGGGACAUUGGUAACUGGGAUCUACAAUUUCAUAUGGAUCCCUGUGAUGUGACAGUAUACCUGGAGCAGGUGGCAAAGGCAGUGGUGAAGGGGGUGAUGAGGCCUGACAGGAAACUGAACGGGUUCUUGCGUGUGAAGCCGAAGUAGAUGAGAGGCAGGACGAUGC
This is a long non-coding RNA of Scophthalmus maximus (turbot), 478 nucleotides long. RefSeq lists it as uncharacterized. NCBI's taxonomy places the organism in Eukaryota, Metazoa, Chordata, Actinopteri, Pleuronectiformes, Scophthalmidae. The transcript is spliced from 3 exons. The record is from RefSeq and is a predicted model, not a curated record.